GACGAACCGUGCGAACGUUGUUCGGAAUCACUGGGCUUAAAGGGCGCGUAGGCGGCCUGCCAAGUCAGGGGUGAAAGCCCCCAGCUCAACUGGGGAAGUGCCUUUGAUACUGGCGGGCUCGAGCGAGGCAGGGGUCGUGGGAACUUCCGGUGGAGCGGUGAAAUGCGUUGAUAUCGGAAGGAACGCCGGUGGCGAAAGCGAGAUCCUGGACGUCUUCUGACGCUGAGACGCGAAAGCUAGGGGAGCAAACGGG
This 253-nucleotide ribosomal RNA is filed under the name uncultured bacterium. Its description in RNAcentral is "partial 16S ribosomal RNA". It matches the Rfam family "Bacterial small subunit ribosomal RNA", at positions 524 to 776 of the family's 1533-position model. The record is from RNAcentral.